Molecule: long non-coding RNA, 1768 nt
Filed under: Podarcis lilfordi (Lilford's wall lizard)
Lineage: Eukaryota; Metazoa; Chordata; Lepidosauria; Squamata; Lacertidae
Source: RNAcentral
AGUGGAAGAUUGUUCAGCCAAGCCUUAUGAGGAACGGUUAAGAGAACUGGGUAUGUUUAGUCUGGGAAACAGGAGACUGAGAGGAGCUGUGAUAGCCAAAUAUCUAAAGGGCUGUCACAUGGAAGAUGGUGCAAACUUGUUUUCUCCUGCUUCGGAGGACCAAUGGCUUCAAGUUGCAAGAAAGGAGAUUCUGACUAAGCAUCAGGAAGAACUUUCUGACAGUAAGAGCUGUUCGACAGUGGAACGGUCUCCCUCGAAAGAUGGUGGAGUUUUUAAAACAGAAGUUGGAUGGAUGGCUAUCUGUCAUGGAUGCUUCAGCUGAGUUUCUUGCAUUGCAGGGGACUGGCCUAGAUGAUCCUUGAUGUCCUUUCCAGCUGUGAUUCUAAAAUUCAGCUUCCUGUCUGGCCAACUUCCCUACCUGGUAUGGGAGGUGGGGGAGGAGCAGAAUAAUCCUUAGUUUCAGGCAGCACAUCUGGGGCUAACCCUGGACUUAAGAUCUGAUGAGGCACUGGUGGAGGAAGAGGAGUGGGGGGGAGCGCACCACCCCCGGAAGCACAAUCCCGGUGGGGUGCCAUCGUGGCUGCCACGCCCCCGCAGGCGGCGCACCACGCCCCCAGGACGUGCGCCAGCCCCGCCCCCACCUGCUCUCCACCCCCCGGUGCCAGAGCAUGAAGCUCCACCACUGUGAGGAGGCCUUCUUUGUGAGCCCAUCACUGAGUGAAGUACAGUAGUACCUCAGGUUAAGAACUUAAUUCGUUCUGGAGGUCUGUUCUUAACCUGAAACUGUUCUUAACCUGAAGCACCACUUUAGCUAAUGGGGCCUCCCACUGCCGCCACGCGAUUUCUGUUCUCAUCCUGAAGCAAAGUUCUUAAGCUGAGGCACUGUUUCUGGGUUAGCAGAGUCUGUAACCUAAAGUGUCUGUAACCUGAAGUGUCUGUAACCCGAGGUAUAUGUAAAGGUAAAGGGACCCCUGACCAUUAGGUCCAGUCGUGACCAACUCUGGGGUUGCGGCGCUCAUCUCGCUUUACUGGCCGAGGGAGCCGGCGUACAACUUCCGGGUCAUGUGGCCAGCAUGACUAAGCCACUUCUGGCGAACCAGAGCAGCUCACGGAAACGCUGUUUACCUUCCCACCGGAGCGGUACCUAUUUAUCUACUUGCACUUUGACGUGCUUUCGAACUGCUAGGUUGGCAGGAGCAGGGACCGAGCAACAAGAGCUCACCCCGUCACGGGGAUUCAAACCGCCGACCUUCUGAUCAGCAAGUCCUAGGCUCUGUGGUUUAACCCACAGCGCCACCCGCGUCCCUUGUAACCCGAGGUACCACUGUACAUAUUGCAGUGACAUAGGGAAAUAUCAGUGCUAUUCUUCUAGAAAAAGAGGUGACAUUGUCCAUGUUUUCUGGGGCUGAUGAAAGGCCACAGGGGCCCAAUUCCUGUUAAAGAAGGUUAUGCGUGUUUGUACACAAUUAUGAGAUCCUGCUAAUCCAUUCCACAUGCAAGCUCUGAUUUGGGAAUUUUGUUUGACAUUCCCAUACAUACUAGAUGACAGUCUCCUUCAUAGGCAUGACGUCUGCCUUCUGUCUGCCUAAUUCUGUUUGUGCAGUGGCACAAACCGAGGCUUACGCCACAGCAGCUAAGAAAACAUUCCCUGAAUGGCCAGUGGAGGUAGACCCAACCUGUUAUCAUGUUGCCUACACAAAUGUGUCCCAGGGCCUUUGUGACACCAGUCUUAGGGACUUUCCAGCAGAUGGUUUUUAGCCUUACACAU